Molecule: small RNA, 102 nt
Filed under: Flavobacterium omnivorum
Lineage: Bacteria; Pseudomonadati; Bacteroidota; Flavobacteriia; Flavobacteriales; Flavobacteriaceae
Description: Flavo-1 RNA
Rfam family: Flavo-1 RNA
Source: RNAcentral
AAAUUGCGUAAGGGAUGGAAGUGGCAUCCUUUUAUGAAUUCCUGAUCCCGAAGCUUCGGGAUUGGGAAUUCAUAAAAGAUACAACGGAUAGCCCGACCCGCA